UUUUAUGAGAGUUUGAUCCUGGCUCAGGACGAACGCUGGCGGCGUGCCUAAUACAUGCAAGUCGUACGCUUCUUUUUCCACCGGAGCUUGCUCCACCGGAAAAAGAAGAGUGGCGAACGGGUGAGUAACACGUGGGUAACCUGCCCAUCAGAAGGGGAUAACACUUGGAAACAGGUGCUAAUACCGUAUAACAAUCGAAACCGCAUGGUUUUGAUUUGAAAGGCGCUUUCGGGUGUCGCUGAUGGAUGGACCCGCGGUGCAUUAGCUAGUUGGUGAGGUAACGGCUCACCAAGGCCACGAUGCAUAGCCGACCUGAGAGGGUGAUCGGCCACAUUGGGACUGAGACACGGCCCAAACUCCUACGGGAGGCAGCAGUAGGGAAUCUUCGGCAAUGGACGAAAGUCUGACCGAGCAACGCCGCGUGAGUGAAGAAGGUUUUCGGAUCGUAAAACUCUGUUGUUAGAGAAGAACAAGGAUGAGAGUAACUGUUCAUCCCUUGACGGUAUCUAACCAGAAAGCCACGGCUAACUACGUGCCAGCAGCCGCGGUAAUACGUAGGUGGCAAGCGUUGUCCGGAUUUAUUGGGCGUAAAGCGAGCGCAGGCGGUUUCUUAAGUCUGAUGUGAAAGCCCCCGGCUCAACCGGGGAGGGUCAUUGGAAACUGGGAGACUUGAGUGCAGAAGAGGAGAGUGGAAUUCCAUGUGUAGCGGUGAAAUGCGUAGAUAUAUGGAGGAACACCAGUGGCGAAGGCGGCUCUCUGGUCUGUAACUGACGCUGAGGCUCGAAAGCGUGGGGAGCAAACAGGAUUAGAUACCCUGGUAGUCCACGCCGUAAACGAUGAGUGCUAAGUGUUGGAGGGUUUCCGCCCUUCAGUGCUGCAGCUAACGCAUUAAGCACUCCGCCUGGGGAGUACGACCGCAAGGUUGAAACUCAAAGGAAUUGACGGGGGCCCGCACAAGCGGUGGAGCAUGUGGUUUAAUUCGAAGCAACGCGAAGAACCUUACCAGGUCUUGACAUCCUUUGACCACUCUAGAGAUAGAGCUUCCCCUUCGGGGGCAAAGUGACAGGUGGUGCAUGGUUGUCGUCAGCUCGUGUCGUGAGAUGUUGGGUUAAGUCCCGCAACGAGCGCAACCCUUAUUGUUAGUUGCCAUCAUUUAGUUGGGCACUCUAGCAAGACUGCCGGUGACAAACCGGAGGAAGGUGGGGAUGACGUCAAAUCAUCAUGCCCCUUAUGACCUGGGCUACACACGUGCUACAAUGGGAAGUACAACGAGU
RNAcentral lists this ribosomal RNA (1274 nucleotides) under Enterococcus faecium. RNAcentral describes it as "bacterial SSU rRNA". It matches the Rfam family "Bacterial small subunit ribosomal RNA", at positions 1 to 1247 of the family's 1533-position model. Lineage: Bacteria; Bacillati; Bacillota; Bacilli; Lactobacillales; Enterococcaceae. The record is from RNAcentral.